This is a long non-coding RNA of Panthera uncia (snow leopard), 452 nucleotides long. RefSeq lists it as uncharacterized. Lineage: Eukaryota; Metazoa; Chordata; Mammalia; Carnivora; Felidae. The record is from RefSeq and is a predicted model, not a curated record. The transcript is spliced from 2 exons.
UCGACCCUCGCAGUCGAGUCCCCGGCCUUCGCAGGGGGCGGUCAGCACCUGUGUCUCUCCGCAUCAGGUAACCUUCACCUGUGCACUCAGAAGAUGAAAACAGGAGUCCCCGAGUCUUCACCGAACCCGUGCUGACUUUCCCGAACCCUGGAGGAAGGCGUAGCCGGGCCUGGGAGCCAUCAGGAAUCAGAGAUAACAGCAGAGAUAACAGACCUCACCUCUCGAUGAGUGGAACUAUGUGCCAGGCUGGUGUUUCUCCUUUACUUCCCGGAGCAACUCAACGAAGUUGAGAUAAACUAAACGUCUCCCCCUCCGAAGAUGGGGAAACGGAGGCUCAGGGAGGUGUGGGCUUGGUGAGUAACACAGAGGUGUCGAAUGACAAUGUGGUACACGGGAAACUAAUAUAACAUCGUAUGCUAACUACACCGGAAUUAAAAUUUUAGGAAAAAUAA